This 552-nucleotide ribosomal RNA is filed under the name Triticum aestivum (bread wheat). Its description in RNAcentral is "partial small subunit ribosomal RNA". The record is from RNAcentral. Lineage: Eukaryota; Viridiplantae; Streptophyta; Magnoliopsida; Poales; Poaceae.
GAGGGUGGGUCCAAGAAACAGCCUCGGCUUCUCGGGCUCGAUGUCGGUAGUAAGUACGUCGGGCUGGCAGUUUCUGAUCAGAAAAACAGGAUUGCCUUGCCUCUAAGGUAUGGGCUUCUAGCAAUUGGUGUUGAGGACGUGUUUCUUGAUGCAAAUGUAAGUGGUCAUGUAUGCUUUGUCUUGGGUAGGACAAAGACAAACAUUAAUUUGAUGGCAGACGAUUUCAAAACACUGGUUAAAAACUACUCCCUUGCCGGGCUUGUUGUGGGUUAUCCAUUCAACCUACAGGGUCAAUCUUCUCCAGAUGCAUCACAAGUAAGCCUUCUUGUAGGAGAACUUUGUAAAACUGGGAAACUUGAUGAUUUGAGCUACACAUAUUGGGAUGAAAAUUUUACCUCAAAGUGCGUAGAAGCCCUUUUAAAUCCUCUGAAACUAAAUGAUCCAGUUGAGACGAAAACAAUGACAGAUAAAUUUGCUGCAGUUUGCAUUCUCCAGGGUUAUUUAGAUAACAUGAACAGGGCAUUGAGACAUGCAGAUAAGUGUGAAGAGUAA